UACGUAGGGUGCAAGCGUUAAUCGGAAUUACUGGGCGUAAAGCGUGCGCAGGCGGCUUUGCAAGACAGAUGUGAAAUCCCCGGGCUUAACCUGGGAACUGCAUUUGUGACUGCAUGGCUGGAGUGCGGCAGAGGGGGAUGGAAUUCCGCGUGUAGCAGUGAAAUGCGUAGUUAUGCGGAGGAACACCGAUGGCGAAGGCAAUUCCCUGGGCCUGCACUGACGCUCAUGCACGAAAGCGUGGGGAGCAAACAGG
Molecule: ribosomal RNA, 253 nt
Filed under: uncultured bacterium
Lineage: Bacteria
Description: partial 16S ribosomal RNA
Rfam family: Bacterial small subunit ribosomal RNA
Source: RNAcentral